GGAGCAUCCUGACUACAGGACCAGCUGGGGACUCUUCUCACAGAUGCAUGGUGUCCCCCAGCCCCACGGCUACACCUGCAGCACAGCUGCACCACUACACUGUCCCCACGCUGGGCACAGCGCCUGCACUGUCCUGAGCCCCGACCUCAAUUCCAGCACCUCCUGCGUCAGCCCAUCACCAGCAGGGACAGCUUUGUCACCAUCGAACACCAGAACUGUGACUGUGGGUGCUGACCAUCCCUCCCACGACGCUCUCCUGCUGCCGAUGGCAUGGUCAUGAGACGCCACCACAGUUCUGAAAGGGCACCAGCUGUCCGCCUGCGGCCAUGGCACAGGCUGGGUGGCCUGGGCUCAGGCUGGCCGGUGGGCUCCCGCUGCCUGCCUCGGUGGGUUUCUCCUCUUGGCUUCUAACCCCUGUUCCGCCCUCUGCACGGCGCUGUGUGGGGACUUCGCGAUUCCCCUCCUGCUCGCUGUGUGCGCUCUCUCUGCUUCCUUAAUGAUCUAAUUUGUAAUAUUUCAUCUCCCCUCCCUUUCAUCUCUCUCUGAACACACAGGCCAGUUAAAAUAAAUAUGUAUUUUUAAUUUCAAGGCACCU
Molecule: long non-coding RNA, 595 nt
Filed under: Marmota monax (woodchuck)
Lineage: Eukaryota; Metazoa; Chordata; Mammalia; Rodentia; Sciuridae
Source: RNAcentral